This is a long non-coding RNA of Oncorhynchus tshawytscha (Chinook salmon), 806 nucleotides long. The record is from Ensembl. Lineage: Eukaryota; Metazoa; Chordata; Actinopteri; Salmoniformes; Salmonidae.
CAAGUGGCGCAGUUGUCUAAGGCACAGCAUCUUAGUGCUAGAGGCGUCACUACAGACACCCAGGCUCAAAUCCAGACUGCGUUUCUAUCAAAGUGGCCCACCUUCCCUGUGGCCGUCAUGGUUGCUGUAUGGACAGUGGAGGGGACAUGGAUGCCUCGUUUGUCAUGCCACUUUACUAACAGCUGUUGACAUUUUUUAUUUUGUAUAACGUGUCAUUUGGAAUGGCAGUAGCAUUGUUGAUGAAAUGCAGUCAUCGCAGCAGAACUAGGAAGCGCUCCAAGGCAUAGUGAUUGGUCUCGGUUAUGUCUCCCUCCAGCUCCUCUGUCAGAAAGAACUUGAAGCACUCUGCCUCAGAUGGAAAUGGCAAGGGGCGUUGCACUCCAGACUGGGAGUCAAAGCAAACAGCAGGGCCAGGAGGGGUGAAAUUGCUGGCAGCCUUCCAGCUACCACAGAACUCCUGUACUUCAUCCAUUGUUGGCCUGCCUCCAUCACCACCAGCAUCUUCAAAGGGACCUGGGACUUCGUCAGUGGACAAGGGUCCUCAGAUUCAGGGUUCUCAAUGGCUACAAGGUUGGGGGGCAGCUCCUCACUGUCAGAAUCUGAUUCCUGACUUUCAGACUCAUUGUCAGAAUUUUUUUAAAUCUCAAGAAUUUCCACAUUUGUGAGUUGUCUCCUUUUGAAAGACAUUGCUAAUGCUACAGCUUAGCUCACUAGCUACAUACAUAAACAACAACACUGAAUGGCUCAGAGUGGGAGUGAGAGGUUAUGUGAUUGACAGCCGGCACGGGCCACUUGUAGAAAUAAAU